This is a non-coding RNA of Acanthosepion pharaonis, 97 nucleotides long. Lineage: Eukaryota; Metazoa; Mollusca; Cephalopoda; Sepiida; Sepiidae. The record is from the annotation of a GenBank genome assembly.
CGACAUUCCCGUUCCUGUACGAUCGCCGAAGUUAAGCAACGUCGAGCCUGGUCAGUAUCUAGAUGGGUGACCGCUUGGUAAUACCAAGUACUGUAAG